RNAcentral lists this ribosomal RNA (253 nucleotides) under uncultured bacterium. RNAcentral's name for it is "partial 16S ribosomal RNA". It matches the Rfam family "Bacterial small subunit ribosomal RNA", at positions 524 to 776 of the family's 1533-position model. The record is from RNAcentral.
CACGUAGGGCGCAAGCGUUGUCCGGAAUUAUUGGGCGUAAAGAGCUCGUAGGCGGUCUGUUACGUCUGCUGUGAAAACCCAGGGCUUAACCCUGGGCUUGCAGUGGAUACGGGCAGACUAGAGGCAGGUAGGGGAGAAUGGAAUUCCCGGUGUAGCGGUGAAAUGCGCAGAUAUCAGGAGGAACACCGGUGGCGAAGGCGGGUCUCUGGGCCGAAACUGACGCUGAGGAGCGAAAGCGUGGGGAGCGAACAGG